GUAACGGCGAGUGAAGCGGCAACAGCUCAAAUUUGAAAUCUGGCUCUCGGGCCCGAGUUGUAAUUUGUAGAGGAUACUUUUGAUGCGGUGCCUUCCGAGUUCCCUGGAACGGGACGCCAUAGAGGGUGAGAGCCCCGUCUGGUUGGAUGCCAAAUCUCUGUAAAGUUCCUUCGACGAGUCGAGUAGUUUGGGAAUGCUGCUCUAAAUGGGAGGUAUAUGUCUUCUAAAGCUAAAUAUUGGCCAGAGACCGAUAGCGCACAAGUAGAGUGAUCGAAAGAUGAAAAGCACUUUGAAAAGAGAGUUAAAAAGUACGUGAAAUUGUUGAAAGGGAAGCGUUUAUGACCAGACUUGGACUUGGUUAAUCAUCUGGGGUUCUCCCCAGUGCACUUCUCCAGUUCAGGCCAGCAUCAGUUUUCGCCGGGGGAUAAAGGCAGCGGGAAUGUGGCUCUCUUCGGGGAGUGUUAUAGCCCGUUGUGUAAUACCCUGGUGGGGACUGAGGUUCGCGCUUCUGCAAGGAUGCUGGCGUAAUGGUCAUCAACGACCCGUCUUGAAACACGGACCAAGGAGUCGUCUUCGUAUGCGAGUGUUCGGGUGUCAAACCCCUACGCGUAAUGAAAGUGAACGCAGGUGAGAGCUUCGGCGCAUCAUCGACCGAUCCUGAUGUUCUCGGAUGGAUUUGAGUAAGAGCAUACGGGGCCGGACCCGAAAGAAGGUGAACUAUGCCUGUAUAGGGUGAAGCCAGAGGAAACUCUGGUGGAGGCUCGCAGCGGUUCUGA
This 776-nucleotide ribosomal RNA is filed under the name Fusarium celtis-occidentalis. RNAcentral's name for it is "[Geejayessia] celtidicola partial large subunit ribosomal RNA". It matches the Rfam family "Eukaryotic large subunit ribosomal RNA", at positions 83 to 889 of the family's 3401-position model. Lineage: Eukaryota; Fungi; Ascomycota; Sordariomycetes; Hypocreales; Nectriaceae. The record is from RNAcentral.